GACGAACGCUGGCGGCGUGCCUAAUACAUGCAAGUCGAGCGGACCGAACAGGAGCUUGCUCUUGUUCGGUUAGCGGCGGACGGGUGAGUAACACGUGGGUAACCUGCCCGUAAGACCGGGAUAACUCCGGGAAACCGGAGCUAAUACCGGAUAACACCGAAGACCGCAUGGUCUUUGGUUGAAAGGAGGCUUCGGCUGCCACUUACGGAUGGGCCCGCGGCGCAUUAGCUAGUUGGUGAGGUAACGGCUCACCAAGGCGACGAUGCGUAGCCGGCCUGAGAGGGUGACCGGCCACACUGGGACUGAGACACGGCCCAGACUCCUACGGGAGGCAGCAGUAGGGAAUCUUCCGCAAUGGACGAAAGUCUGACGGAGCGACGCCGCGUGAGCGAAGAAGGUCUUCGGAUCGUAAAGCUCUGUUGUUAGGGAAGAAGAAGCGUCGUUCGAACAGGGCGGCGCGGUGACGGUACCUAACGAGAAAGCCCCGGCUAACUACGU
RNAcentral lists this ribosomal RNA (498 nucleotides) under uncultured bacterium. RNAcentral's name for it is "partial 16S ribosomal RNA". It matches the Rfam family "Bacterial small subunit ribosomal RNA", at positions 28 to 506 of the family's 1533-position model. The record is from RNAcentral.